AUACGUAGGUGGCGAGCGUUAUCCGGAAUUACUGGGUGUAAAGGGUGUGUAGGCGGGGAACCAAGUCAGAUGUGAAAAUUACGGGCUCAACCCGUAACCUGCGUCUGAAACUGGAUCUCUUGAGAGUGGGAGAGGGAAACGGAAUUCCUGGUGUAGCGGUGAAAUGCGUAGAUAUCAGGAGGAACACCGGUGGCGAAGGCGGUUUACUGGACCACAACUGACGCUGAGACACGAAAGCGUGGGGAGCAAACAGGAUUAGAUACCCUGGUAGUCCACGCUGUAAACGAUGAAUGCUAGGUGUAGGGGUCGUAGGACAUCUGUGCCGCAGUUAACACAAUAAGCAUUCCACCUGGGGAGUACGGCCGCAAGGUUGAAACUCAAAUGAAUUGACGGGG
This 395-nucleotide ribosomal RNA is filed under the name uncultured bacterium. Its description in RNAcentral is "partial 16S ribosomal RNA". It matches the Rfam family "Bacterial small subunit ribosomal RNA", at positions 523 to 918 of the family's 1533-position model. The record is from RNAcentral.